RNAcentral lists this transfer RNA (54 nucleotides) under Candidatus Kerfeldbacteria bacterium CG08_land_8_20_14_0_20_42_7. Its description in RNAcentral is "tRNA-Asp". It matches the Rfam family "tRNA", at positions 7 to 56 of the family's 71-position model. Rfam says of the family: Transfer RNA (tRNA) molecules are approximately 80 nucleotides in length. Their secondary structure includes four short double-helical elements and three loops (D, anti-codon, and T loops). Further hydrogen bonds mediate the characteristic L-shaped molecular structure. tRNAs have two regions of fundamental functional importance: the anti-codon, which is responsible for specific mRNA codon recognition, and the 3' end, to which the tRNAs corresponding amino acid is attached (by aminoacyl-tRNA synthetases). tRNAs cope with the degeneracy of the genetic code in two manners: having more than one tRNA (with a specific anti-codon) for a particular amino acid; and 'wobble' base-pairing, i.e. permitting non-standard base-pairing at the 3rd anti-codon position. Lineage: Bacteria; Candidatus Kerfeldiibacteriota. The record is from RNAcentral.
CGUAGCUCAGCUGGUUAGAGCGUCUGCCUGUCACGCAGAAGGUCGCGAGUUCGA